GACGAACGCUGGCGGCGUGCUUAACACAUGCAAGUCGAACGGAAAGGCCCUGCUAUUUUGGGUUGCACGAGUGGCACACGGGUGUGUAACACGUGAGUAACCUGCCCUUGCCUCUGGGAUAACUACAAGCCAGUGGGGCCAAUACCGGUUCGGAACUCACGCUUCAUGGCGGCGGUAGGAAAGUUUAGGCGGUUGGGGAUGGACUAGCGGCAUAGCAGCUUGUUGGUGGGUGAGUGGCUUACCAAGGAGUUGACGGGUAGCCGGCCUGAGAGGGUGACCGGCCACAGUGCGACUUAGAAACGGCCCAGGCUGCGACGGGUGUCAGCAAUGGGAGAUAUUGCACAAUGAGCGGAGUCGUGUGGCAGCAACGCCGCGUGCGGGAUGACGGCCUUUGGGGUGUAAACCUCUUUCGCCUGUGACGAAGCGUGAUUGACGGUAACGGGUAAAGAAGCACCGGCUAACUACGUG
Molecule: ribosomal RNA, 468 nt
Filed under: uncultured bacterium
Lineage: Bacteria
Description: partial 16S ribosomal RNA
Rfam family: Bacterial small subunit ribosomal RNA
Source: RNAcentral